AUUGAACGCUGGCGGCAUGCUUUACACAUGCAAGUCGGACGGCAGCACAGAGAAGCUUGCUUCUUGGGUGGCGAGUGGCGAACGGGUGAGUAACAUAUCGGAACGUACCGAGCAGUGGGGGAUAACUAAUCGAAAGAUUAGCUAAUACCGCAUAUAUUCUGAGGAAGAAAGCAGGGGACCAUUUGGCCUUGCGCUGUUUGAGCGGCCGAUAUCUGAUUAGCUAGUUGGUGGGGUAAAGGCCUACCAAGGCGACGAUCAGUAGCGGGUCUGAGAGGAUGAUCCGCCACACUGGGACUGAGACACGGCCCAGACUCCUACGGGAGGCAGCAGUGGGGAAUUUUGGACAAUGGGCGCAAGCCUGAUCCAGCCAUGCCGCGUGUCUGAAGAAGGCCUUCGGGUUGUAAAGGACUUUUGUCAGGGAAGAAAAGGGCGGGGUUAAUACCCCUGUCUGAUGACGGUACCUGA
Molecule: ribosomal RNA, 465 nt
Filed under: Neisseria mucosa
Lineage: Bacteria; Pseudomonadati; Pseudomonadota; Betaproteobacteria; Neisseriales; Neisseriaceae
Description: bacterial SSU rRNA
Rfam family: Bacterial small subunit ribosomal RNA
Source: RNAcentral